Molecule: microRNA precursor, 84 nt
Organism: Oryctolagus cuniculus (rabbit)
Lineage: Eukaryota; Metazoa; Chordata; Mammalia; Lagomorpha; Leporidae
Rfam family: mir-142 microRNA precursor family
Source: Rfam
CAGUGCAGUCACCCAUAAAGUAGAAAGCACUACUAACAGCACUGGAGGGUGUAGUGUUUCCUACUUUAUGGAUGAGUGUACUGU